UACGUAGGGUGCGAGCGUUAAUCGGAAUUACUGGGCGUAAAGUGUGCGCAGGCGGCCGAGCAAGUCGAGUGUGAAAGCCCCGAGCUUAACUUGGGAACUGCGCUCGAAACUACUUGGCUAGAGUGUGGCAGAGGGAGGUGGAAUUCCGCGUGUAGCGGUGAAAUGCGUAGAGAUGUGGAGGAACACCGAUGGCGAAGGCAGCCUCCUGGGCCAACACUGACGCUCAUGCACGAAAGCGUGGGGAGCAAACAGG
Molecule: ribosomal RNA, 253 nt
Filed under: uncultured bacterium
Lineage: Bacteria
Description: partial 16S ribosomal RNA
Rfam family: Bacterial small subunit ribosomal RNA
Source: RNAcentral